GACGAACGCUGGCGGCGUGCUUAACACAUGCAAGUGGAGCGACGAACCAGGGCUUGCCCUGGGGCAGAGCCGCGAACGGGUGAGUAACAUGUGGGUAACGUGCCCCGAUGACUGGGACAACCCGGGGAAACCCGGGCUAAUACCGGAUGUGCCCCCUCACAUCAGUGAGGUGUGUAAAGGAAGCUUCGGCCUCCGCAUCGGGAUCGGCCCGCGGCCCAUUAGCUUGUUGGUGAGGUAACGGCUCACCAAGGCUGCGAUGGGUAGCUGGUCUGAGAGGACGAUCAGCCACACUGGGACUGAGACACGGCCCAGACUCCUACGGGAGGCAGCAGUGGGGAAUCUUGCGCAAUGCGCGAAAGCGUGACGCAGCAACGCCGCGUGGGGGAAGACGGCCUUCGGGUUGUAAACCCCUUUCAGUUGGGACGAAGGUCGGGCGGUUAACAGCCGUUCCGGCUGACGGUACCUUCACAAGAAGCCCCGGCUAACUACGUG
RNAcentral lists this ribosomal RNA (492 nucleotides) under uncultured bacterium. RNAcentral describes it as "partial 16S ribosomal RNA". It matches the Rfam family "Bacterial small subunit ribosomal RNA", at positions 28 to 507 of the family's 1533-position model. The record is from RNAcentral.